GAGUUUGAUCAUGGCUCAGAUUGAACGCUGGCGGCAUGCCUUACACAUGCAAGUCGAACGGUAACAGGUCUUCGGACGCUGACGAGUGGCGAACGGGUGAGUAAUACAUCGGAACGUGCCCAGUCGUGGGGGAUAACUACUCGAAAGAGUAGCUAAUACCGCAUACGAUCUGAGGAUGAAAGCGGGGGACCUUCGGGCCUCGCGCGAUUGGAGCGGCCGAUGGCAGAUUAGGUAGUUGGUGGGAUAAAAGCUUACCAAGCCGACGAUCUGUAGCUGGUCUGAGA
Molecule: ribosomal RNA, 284 nt
Filed under: uncultured beta proteobacterium
Lineage: Bacteria; Pseudomonadati; Pseudomonadota; Betaproteobacteria
Description: partial 16S ribosomal RNA
Rfam family: Bacterial small subunit ribosomal RNA
Source: RNAcentral